Molecule: transfer RNA, 73 nt
Organism: Neotoma lepida (desert woodrat)
Lineage: Eukaryota; Metazoa; Chordata; Mammalia; Rodentia; Cricetidae
Rfam family: tRNA
About the family: Transfer RNA (tRNA) molecules are approximately 80 nucleotides in length. Their secondary structure includes four short double-helical elements and three loops (D, anti-codon, and T loops). Further hydrogen bonds mediate the characteristic L-shaped molecular structure. tRNAs have two regions of fundamental functional importance: the anti-codon, which is responsible for specific mRNA codon recognition, and the 3' end, to which the tRNAs corresponding amino acid is attached (by aminoacyl-tRNA synthetases). tRNAs cope with the degeneracy of the genetic code in two manners: having more than one tRNA (with a specific anti-codon) for a particular amino acid; and 'wobble' base-pairing, i.e. permitting non-standard base-pairing at the 3rd anti-codon position.
Source: Rfam
GGAGGGNUGGCUCAGNGGUUAAGAGCACUGACUGCUCUCUCAGAGGACCUGGGUUCAAUUCCCAGCACCUAUU